This 2040-nucleotide long non-coding RNA is filed under the name Triticum aestivum (bread wheat). RNAcentral describes it as "long non-coding RNA (TAES_LNC020928)". The record is from RNAcentral. Lineage: Eukaryota; Viridiplantae; Streptophyta; Magnoliopsida; Poales; Poaceae.
CCAAAUAACAAGUGCAUCAUUUACUACAACGUAUGAUCCAGAAUUCAUAAAGUAUUACAAACUAAGUAGCACAUAGCUAACUUUAUUCAAUAAUAUCAACGAAAAGGUAGCAUAAUAAACGACGAGUCCAUCAAUGCCCACUAGAGAACAUGUCGAGUGAAGGCUCGCGACCCUAGUGCAUCUCACUGAUCAUCUGAAAAUCCUGCAACAUGAUAAGUUGUAGCCACAAACGGUCAAUACAUUGAAUGUAUUGGCAAAUCACACAAAAUGAUAUAGCAAACCUACAUCCACAAAGCAAUGUAUGACAAACAAAACACACAAGUUAGUUUGGAGAAGAAUGUCUUCACCUACCUCCACUACCUGAACUCACAACCGUCUCUAGUUUACUCGCCCAAGAUAACCCAAAGAUUCUAAAUAAACAUGACAAGAACUUCAGAAGUAUGUCUCAAGUGCGCUCUGUCAGUGGCGCAUUCUCUAGGAACAAUAGAGCGCUCUGCCAAGGACGCAUUCACCUGAUUUAUGUUCCGAAAACUAUACCUCACCUCAAGUGCGCUCUGUCAAUGACGCAUUCUCUAGGGACAAUAGAGCGCUCUGCCAGUGACGCAUUCACCUGGUUAAUAAUCCCAAGCCUACGGCUAUAAACACUCACCACUUUCAUGGAUCACUCGACACAUGCCCAUGUCUACCAUAGCAAGUUGAUCACACCAUAAAAAAAUACAAUCAAUAUCAGAAUAUGACCAUAGAGAACAUACAUAUCAAACCAAGCACAUGUCAUAGCAUAAAAACCACACAUGCAUAGCAGAAUAUAGGAUGAGCAAAAUCAAAAGUGCAACUUGCCUUGAACGCUGUUGAAGUACUCUAACGCUCAAUUCUGAUCCGCUUCACACUCCGGACAAUCUAUACGAUUAACGAAGGCACCGAUAAAUAAACCAUACUCCCAUAACACCACAAUAAAGUAAAUAGAAACAAAUUCAAAUAAAAACUUAAAUAACAGAACUUAUCAGUAGGUAUAUAUCAUCUACAUGCUGGCAGGAUCACAAUGCAAAAAGAAUCAACUGAAUUGGAUCAAUGGUUUAAAAGAUAUGGCCUCCAGAAGUUUGAAUUCAAAUUUAAACAUCAUAUUUGAAUAGUUCAACAAUGUGAAAUUUUGGUUCUGCGGUAUUCUCCUGGUCUCUACGAGUACACAGGAAAAAGAAUCGAUGAAUUUGGAGUUCCGGAUGUCAAGAUAAACCUAAAUGAAAAUUUGAUAUGGAAUCUGCAAAGAAAAAUUAUGCCAUAAUAGCGUUCUAGGAAGAACUGCCGCGGCUGCCGUGGACGUGCCACGUGUCGCAUGAUGACUGGCUGGAGGUUGUUUGCUUCUGUGGCUAACUGACGAACGUCCACUAAAUAGUGCAUACCGAUUUAUAGGAAAAAACAGCACUGAUCUAAUCCAGACCGUCGGAGGGAGAUCGGACGGAUGGGAUGACUCACCAGAGAGGAACAGAGUAUGCCGGCCGGAAUUGAACGAGACGGCGGCGGCACGGCUCAGAUUUGAAGCUGGCGUCGCUGGAGAGGCCUCCCGAGCUCGGGGAGAAUAGGACGAGGCGAGGAGGGACAUGUCGAACUCCAAAACAUCCUCCGGGAUGACCGGGCCUUCUGCUAACGUAGGUGAGGUUCGGCUAGAGCGGCGACGGCGAUGUUCGUCGGGGCGGAGGUCGAAGCACUCGGGUGGGUGCUUCCCUGCGAGAACUAAUAGGUGAGGGAGAGAGACGAGACCAUGGGUCAGAGAAUAGGGGCAGAAGGAGAAGCUAGGAACCUUCUGUGGCGAUGAAAUCGAGUGGUGGAGGUGCUCCUGCGGUGGUGGACUCCGGCGAGAUCCGGGCGAGGUGAAACAGGCACGAGAGAGAGGGAUUUUGCCAAAAAUCGGCAGAGGAGAGUAAGGGGACUAUUUAUACGGAGUCAAGACUGGGCGAGGGACAGUAGAUCGAUCGGAAACGAUGGGGAUUUGGAUCGGGAGGAGUCUCCAGGACAUGGGCAGAGGAGAGAGAUGAGAAGUGGGCC